Molecule: long non-coding RNA, 1095 nt
Filed under: Vitis vinifera (wine grape)
Lineage: Eukaryota; Viridiplantae; Streptophyta; Magnoliopsida; Vitales; Vitaceae
Description: long non-coding RNA (VVIN_LNC005616)
Source: RNAcentral
AUCCGCCUUCUGAUUUGUAUUUGACGCCCCAUUCUUGUGGAGAGCCUUGUGGGAAGCCACUCAAUCGAGAGAUUAUAGGUUCUGGUGAGAGUAAUGAGGAUUUUUGCCCCCAUGUCUGUGUCUUGCAAUGCCACCCAGGUCCAUGCCCUCCGUGUAAGGCUUUUGCACCGCCUCGGUUGUGCCCUUGUCGGAAGAAAAUAAUUACAACACGAUGCUCUGAUCGGAAAUCUGUUCUUACUUGUGGUCAGCGUUGUGAUAAACUCCUCGAAUGUGGGCGUCACCGUUGUGAGCGCAUGUGCCAUGUUGGUGCUUGUGAUCCUUGUCAGGUUCUGGUCAAUGCCUCUUGCUUUUGCAAGAACACGGUGGAGGUUGUUCUUUGUGGGUCCAUGGCUGUGAAGGGAGAACUAAAAUCAGAGGAUGGUGUUUUCUCAUGUCGUUGGAUCUGUGGAAAGAAGCUUUUCUGUGGAAAUCACGAUUGUGAUGAAAUUUGCCAUCCAGGGCCAUGUGGGGAUUGCAACUUAAUGCCAAGCAGGAUUAGGACAUGCUAUUGCGGUAAAACAUCAUUGCAGGAGGAACGGCGUAGCUGUUUGGACCCAAUUCCAACCUGUCUUCAGAUCUGUGGCAAGCCCCUCCCUUGUGGAAUGCACUUCUGUAAGGACACAUGCCAUGCUGGGGAUUGUGCACCAUGUUUGGUGCUUGUCAAUCAAAAAUGCCGUUGUGGAUCAACAUCUCGAACUGUAGAAUGCUACAAAACCACGGCAGAGGAGAAAUUUACCUGUGAGAAACCUUGUGGGCGGAAGAAGAACUGUGGAAGGCACCGUUGUAGUGAACGGUGCUGUCCUCUCUCUAAUUCUGGCAAUGUUCUCUUUGGUGAUUGGGAUCCGCACUUAUGUUCAAUGACAUGUGGAAAGAAACUAAGGUGUGGACAGCACUCUUGUGAAAAUCUUUGCCACAGUGGCCAUUGCCCUCCUUGCCUUGAAACAAUCUUUACUGAUUUAACAUGUGCAUGUGGGAGAACUUCAAUCGCUCCUCCAUUGCCUUGUGGUACCCCCACUCCAUCAUGUCAGCACCCAUGCUCAGUUCCUCAGCCAUGUG